UAAGUACUCCCUCCUUCGGAAUUACUUGUCGCAGAAAUGGAUGUAUCUAGAGAUACAUCCAUUUCUGCGACAAGUAAUUCCGAACGGAGGGAGUAGAGU
Non-coding RNA from Triticum aestivum (bread wheat), 99 nucleotides. The record is from Rfam. Lineage: Eukaryota; Viridiplantae; Streptophyta; Magnoliopsida; Poales; Poaceae.